Molecule: ribosomal RNA, 437 nt
Filed under: Pseudomonas sp. DCB_Q
Lineage: Bacteria; Pseudomonadati; Pseudomonadota; Gammaproteobacteria; Pseudomonadales; Pseudomonadaceae
Description: partial 23S ribosomal RNA
Rfam family: Bacterial large subunit ribosomal RNA
Source: RNAcentral
AACACGAGGAACCCGGUGCUGGAAGGUUAAGAGGAGGGGUUAUCCUUUGGGAGAAGCUCUGAAUCGAAGCCCCAGUAAACGGCGGCCGUAACUAUAACGGUCCUAAGGUAGCGAAAUUCCUUGUCGGGUAAGUUCCGACCCGCACGAAAGGCGUAACGAUCUGGGCACUGUCUCAACGAGAGACUCGGUGAAAUUAUAGUACCUGUGAAGAUGCAGGUUACCCGCGACAGGACGGAAAGACCCCGUGGAGCUUUACUGCAGCCUGAUAUUGAAUUUUGGUACAGCUUGUACAGGAUAGGUAGGAGCCUGAGAAGCCGGAGCGCCAGCUUCGGUGGAGGCGUUGGUGGGAUACUACCCUGGCUGUAUUGAAAUUCUAACCCGCGCCCCUUAUCGGGGUGGGAGACAGUGUCAGGUGGGCAGUUUGACUGGGGCGGUUU